GUUUUUUUCUUAUUUUAAUAGUAUUGACAACAUAUUUCUCAAGUUAUCACACAUAAAGUGAAGAAAAGAAACUAUAUUACUUAUCUAUUUUUCAUAUCGAUUUUCACCUUGACUUAAACCACAUUGUUUCUUUAACCUUCUGUGUUGUUGCCUACAACACUUCAGUUAGAGGACUGGGAAAUAGCAAACAGGGGAAAAAGGCAUGACUUAUUUUGCAUACAGCUAGCCAAACCUGUUGAAACUGUUGUCAUAGCCAAUGCUUUUUAUUGGAACAGAAAACAGCAAGGGUCCAUAGAAAAAUACAGUUGGAAGUUUUUUUUUUCCACCAAGGCAGCUCAAGAAGGUUGGACACACAAGUACAGUGGCUCUUUUGGCCCAAGGCCAAGCCAACAUCAAAGUUAGUUCACUAACUUUACAUUCUAGUUAUUAUUAUUAUUCUUCUGAUCCUAAAAUUCCAAACGCUACUCCUCCUAGGGCUUUAAAGCCACAAGCCCCAAACUCGGCAGAGACCUGGGCCCCGGGGUGUAGUUUUAUGCUAUAUCUUUUUAGACUGAUCAGACUUACAGUUUAUUUAUUAUUAAUUUUUAUAAAUCAGAAAUCUCCCAUAGACUCCC
Long non-coding RNA from Cyprinus carpio carpio, 614 nucleotides. NCBI's taxonomy places the organism in Eukaryota, Metazoa, Chordata, Actinopteri, Cypriniformes, Cyprinidae. The record is from Ensembl.